CGCAAGCCUGACGGAGCAAGACCGCGUGCGGGAUGACGGCCUAAUGGUUGUAAACCGCUUUUCUCUGGGAAGAUGAUGACGGCACCAGAGGAAUCAGCCUCGGCUAACUCCGUGCCAGCAGCCGCGGUAAUACGGAGGAGGCAAGCGUUAUCCGGAAUUAUUGGGCGUAAAGCGUCCGUAGGUGGUUAUUCAAGUCUGCUGUCAAAGCGUAGGGCUUAACUCCAUAGAGGCAGUGGAAACUGGAUGACUUGAGUGCGGUAGGGGUCGAGGGAAUUCCCAAUGUAGCGGUGAAAUGCGUAGAUAUUGGGAAGAACACCAGUGGCGAAAGCGCUCGACUGGGCCUGCACUGACACUGAGGGACGAAAGCUAGGGGAGCG
RNAcentral lists this ribosomal RNA (377 nucleotides) under uncultured cyanobacterium. RNAcentral's name for it is "bacterial SSU rRNA". It matches the Rfam family "Bacterial small subunit ribosomal RNA", at positions 376 to 770 of the family's 1533-position model. The record is from RNAcentral. Lineage: Bacteria; Bacillati; Cyanobacteriota.